GUCCACGCCCUAAACGAUGUCGACUGGUUGUUGGGUGUUUGACACUCUCAGUAACGAAGCUAACGCGUGAAGUCGACCGCCUGGGGAGUACGGCCGCAAGGUUAAAACUCAAAUGAAUUGACGGGGACCCGCACAAGCGGUGGAUUAUGUGGAUUAAUUCGAUGCAACGCGAAAACCUUACCUACCCUUGACAUGUCCUGAAGCCUGGAGAGAUCCGGGUGUGCCCGAAAGGGAACGGGAACACAGGUGCUGCAUGGCUGUCGU
Molecule: ribosomal RNA, 264 nt
Filed under: uncultured bacterium
Lineage: Bacteria
Description: partial 16S ribosomal RNA
Rfam family: Bacterial small subunit ribosomal RNA
Source: RNAcentral